Molecule: unclassified non-coding RNA, 350 nt
Filed under: soil metagenome
Description: partial contains 5.8S ribosomal RNA, internal transcribed spacer 2, and large subunit ribosomal RNA
Rfam family: 5.8S ribosomal RNA (bases 1-120)
Source: RNAcentral
GAUGAAGAACGUAGCGAAAUGCGAUAAGUAGUGUGAAUUGCAGAAUUCAGUGAAUCAUCGAAUCUUUGAACGCACAUUGCGCCUUCUGGUAUUCCGGGAGGCAUGCCUGUUCGAGCGUCAUCAAAAACCCUCAAUCUCUGAUUUUUACAGUCAAAGGUUGGUCUUGCCUUGGAGGCUUCAGCUUCCUUUGCGAAAUCCAAUGGCGAAAAGCCACGCAUCCAGAGCGUAGUAAAUUACACCUCGCGAUGGGAACGUGAGCGCUUCAGCCCCAAACCCCCAAUAUUCCAAGUUUUUGACCUCGGAUCAGGUAGGGAUACCCGCUGAACUUAAGCAUAUCAAUAAGCGGAGGA